RNAcentral lists this ribosomal RNA (509 nucleotides) under Weissella confusa. Its description in RNAcentral is "bacterial SSU rRNA". It matches the Rfam family "Bacterial small subunit ribosomal RNA", at positions 56 to 521 of the family's 1533-position model. Lineage: Bacteria; Bacillati; Bacillota; Bacilli; Lactobacillales; Lactobacillaceae. The record is from RNAcentral.
UGCAGUCGACGCUUUGUGGUUCAACUGAUUUGAAGAGCUUGCUCAGAUAUGACGAUGGACAUUGCAAAGAGUGGCGAACGGGUGAGUAACACGUGGGAAACCUACCUCUUAGCAGGGGAUAACAUUUGGAAACAGAUGCUAAUACCGUAUAACAAUGACAACCGCAUGGUUGUUAUUUAAAAGAUGGUUCUGCUAUCACUAAGAGAUGGUCCCGCGGUGCAUUAGCUAGUUGGUAAGGUAAUGGCUUACCAAGGCGAUGAUGCAUAGCCGAGUUGAGAGACUGAUCGGCCACAAUGGGACUGAGACACGGCCCAUACUCCUACGGGAGGCAGCAGUAGGGAAUCUUCCACAAUGGGCGAAAGCCUGAUGGAGCAACGCCGCGUGUGUGAUGAAGGGUUUCGGCUCGUAAAACACUGUUGUAAGAGAAGAAUGACAUUGAGAGUAACUGUUCAAUGUGUGACGGUAUCUUACCAGAAAGGAACGGCUAAAUACGUGCCAGCAGCCGCGGU